ACUCACAAACCUUUCUGCAAAACAAGUUGAAGAGCCUAUACUUCUUGAAAAAAACACAAAUUCAACUCUAAGACUAUGGAUAGAUUACCUAAACUUAACUCCUCUUACCUUCUUAACUAGGGCAUCCAAAUGUUACGCCAAUAGAACAUCCAUCAUCUAUGGUGGUGUUCGUUUCACAUGGAGCCAAACCUACGAGCGUUGUUGUCGCCUCGCUUCCUCUCUCCGAUCCUUGAGCAUGUCAAGAACGACGUGGAUUUAUGGUACCAAAAAGGUGAAAUUUGUGGAAGAACUGCCUAAGACUGCAACUGGAAAAGUACAGAAACACGAUUUGAGAGCAAUAGCUAAGACUUUUGUUAUUUCAGAAACACGAUUCUUGAUGUGGUGACGUUGUUGGAUUGUAAUAAGGGCUCGUUUGAUUCGAAGACAAGUUAUAUAUGAAUUACACUGUGAGGAUUAUUUAUGUAUGAAUUAGUAAUACAUGAACUAUGUCCUUGGUGGGUGUUUGAUUCA
Long non-coding RNA from Nicotiana attenuata, 510 nucleotides. RefSeq lists it as uncharacterized. The transcript is spliced from 2 exons. Lineage: Eukaryota; Viridiplantae; Streptophyta; Magnoliopsida; Solanales; Solanaceae. The record is from RefSeq and is a predicted model, not a curated record.